This 473-nucleotide ribosomal RNA is filed under the name uncultured organism. Its description in RNAcentral is "partial 16S ribosomal RNA". It matches the Rfam family "Bacterial small subunit ribosomal RNA", at positions 335 to 799 of the family's 1533-position model. The record is from RNAcentral.
ACUCCUGCGGGAGGCAGCAGUGGGGAAUUUUGGACAAUGGGCGAAAGCCUGAUCCAGCAAUGCCGCGUGAGUGAAGAAGGCCUUCGGGUUGUAAAGCUCUUUUGUCAGGGAAGAAACGGUGAGAGCUAAUAUCUCUUGCUAAUGACGGUACCUGAAGAAUAAGCACCGGCUAACUACGUGCCAGCAGCCGCGGUAAUACGUAGGGUGCAAGCGUUAAUCGGAAUUACUGGGCGUAAAGCGUGCGCAGGCGGUUUUGUAAGUCUGAUGUGAAAUCCCCGGGCUCAACCUGGGAAUUGCAUUGGAGACUGCAAGGCUAGAAUCUGGCAGAGGGGGGUAGAAUUCCACGUGUAGCAGUGAAAUGCGUAGAUAUGUGGAGGAACACCGAUGGCGAAGGCAGCCCCCUGGGUCAAGAUUGACGCUCAUGCACGAAAGCGUGGGGAGCAAACAGGAUUAGAAACCCUUGUAGUCCCAUG